RNAcentral lists this ribosomal RNA (530 nucleotides) under uncultured bacterium. RNAcentral describes it as "bacterial SSU rRNA". It matches the Rfam family "Bacterial small subunit ribosomal RNA", at positions 28 to 531 of the family's 1533-position model. The record is from RNAcentral.
GGCUAACGCUGGCGGCGUGUCUUAGCCAUGCAAGUCGAGCGGACUUAUGGGGUAACUUAUAAGUCAGCGGCGGACGGCGGAGUAACACGUAGCUAACCUACCCUCUGGACGGGGAUAACCUACCGAAAGGUGGGCUAAUACCCCGAUGUAGUCAUCCUGUAUAGGGGUGAUGAAAGGUGGGCUUCUGUUUACAAGCUCAUGCUGGAGGAGGGGGCUGCGGCCUAUCAGGUAGUUGGUAGGGUAAUAGCCUACCAAGCCGAUGACGGGUAGUCCGGCCUGAGAGGGUGACCGGCCCGAGGGGCACUGAGAUACGGGUCCCACUCCUACGGGAGGCAGCAGGCUAGAAAUUUGGGCAAUGGGGGAAACCCUGACCCAGUGACGCCGCGUGCAGGAAGGAGCCCUUCGGGGUGUAAACUGCUGUCGUGUUAGGGAAAGGGGUACUAAGGUGAACGAAUCUUAGGUACUUGACGGUACUACAGGAGGAAGCCCAAGGCUAACCUCGUGCCAGCAGCCGCGGUAAAUAGCGUACU